Gossypium raimondii (Peruvian cotton) is the source of this 1607-nucleotide long non-coding RNA. RefSeq lists it as uncharacterized. The transcript is spliced from 2 exons. The record is from RefSeq and is a predicted model, not a curated record. NCBI's taxonomy places the organism in Eukaryota, Viridiplantae, Streptophyta, Magnoliopsida, Malvales, Malvaceae.
GGAGGGGAAAAAGGCCCCAGCCCCCAUGUAUCUGCAAGAGAAAGCCGAAAAACCCUUCCAAAAUCCCCUGUCGCUACUGCCUAUAUAAAAAUAUUAGAGACCCCUCCCUCGGUAUCCUUAAGGGGGGGUGAUAGGCGAGGGCUUUGGCUUCGGUUGCGGCGUUGAUGCGGAGAGUGAGAAAGACAAGUGAAGACAACACUGGAAGCGGCCAGAAACAUGUAGAUGAAACCAAAAAAAUCUGAGGGGAGCGUGAUGUUCUAUUUUCCAAUAUAGUUUUCAAUCUGAAUUUCGAUGGCUGCUCGUGUUUCUUCUUCUUCUCCCUCUUCGCUUUCCCUUAAUCAACUUGGCCUUCCCUCAAUGCCUCCUUCCUGGACCUUGUGAUGUUUGGCUUUUCAUAGCUCUGAAGGUUAUGCUGGGCCCUAUGUCAGCUGCACAAUCAAGCCUCCCAACUCAUUGGAUUGGGUAUCUGGAUGAUAUCAAUAGCAGUGGGCAAAAUCAUCCACUAGAGAACUGCUUUGGACAACAAUUGCUUAUCAGGCAUGAAGUCUCAGUAAUCAUUUUUCUGCUGUUAAUUUUUUGAUGUAUUAAAUCAUAAGUCAUAGGUGUUUUGUGCUCCAAUGUUUAAUAUUAAUGACUUUGCCUUUGUUUUACUGUUUGGUUCCAUGCCUUUUUAUUAGCCUUUUGAUCACAUGGGAAAGGACAUCACCAGAUAUGCAAAUUGUCAUGGAGCACAUGUUCAUAUAUACAAUGAUGUUGGUAGCCUUCAAACUUGCAAAUUAAACUACCUACAGCCACCUAUGAAUCUCAACAAUUGCAUUCUUGUUUGUACAAUCUAAUUUUGGUUGCUACAUUCCUUUCAGUAUGGUGUGAGCUUGUGCUUCACCGCUUGAAGCUGUAGUGCUUUAUGCAUUUGGUCUUCAUUCUGCGAUGAAACUAUUAGCAUCUCAUAUGACUGUUUGAAAACUUGAUGUUAUACUUCCUAUGACUCCAUCAAAAUUUACGACUAGAAAUCUCUCUAUUAUAGUCACCAAAGGACCUUACCUUUCUUUCCUAUUGCCGCAACCUCCCUAUUGCUUUCAUUCACUCCUAUUGCUACUGUAGUUUGUAGUACUUUUUCAUAAUGAACCAUAUUGGUCUAUUUCACCAUUUUGAGUAACUUAGCCUCUAAUGAAAAACCUGACACCAAAAUCUUGCCUUAGCCUCUACUCCUGUCUAAAGUGCUCCAAGUUCUUACUAGAAAACAGCAUGAUGACAUCCAUGGUAGGCCGAGGAAAGCUGCAUGGAUUGACAAAAUUAUUCAAUCUGGGCUGGACUUUGUGUAUCUGGAUUGACAAAAUUUCUAUAUGCUUAAAUUCUAGUAUUGAGUGUCUUAUGGGACCCCUUCUCUAGCUUGAGCUUUUCAGUUUUUGUAAGGUUGCAUGCAGCCCCAUGUAGUUUAGGUUCUCUACUGGUUUUUUUAUCCAGGGAAAAGGAAUCAGAAAUACAUUAUGAAGAGUGCAAUUAUGUUGAUGUCAAUUGUAUGUUCUUUCUGACUAUGGAUUGUUUAUCUGCAUUGCAUCACGCCUAAGGUUCUUUUUGGAUAAUGUUAAAUAUGAAAUACUUUAUUA